RNAcentral lists this transfer RNA (74 nucleotides) under Actinomycetes bacterium. Its description in RNAcentral is "Actinobacteria bacterium tRNA-Val". It matches the Rfam family "tRNA". Rfam says of the family: Transfer RNA (tRNA) molecules are approximately 80 nucleotides in length. The record is from RNAcentral. Lineage: Bacteria; Bacillati; Actinomycetota; Actinomycetes.
GGGCGCUUAGCUCAGCUGGCGAGAGCGCCGCCCUUACAAGGCGGAGGUCGGGGGUUCGAAGCCCUCAGCGCCCA